RNAcentral lists this long non-coding RNA (2534 nucleotides) under Gossypium barbadense (sea-island cotton). RNAcentral's name for it is "long non-coding RNA (GBAR_LNC016322)". The record is from RNAcentral. Lineage: Eukaryota; Viridiplantae; Streptophyta; Magnoliopsida; Malvales; Malvaceae.
GAUGAUAAACUUGCUGACGAUCCCUGAGCUUGAAGCUUGAUUUGAUUUUUUUUUUGAUCUAUAAACAGAUAGACGUAAACAAACAAAGUAAGCUUACAUAGCUUAGUAAGUCUAUGGCACAACUAAAAUAUAUAUAAAAGAAGAAUAAUAUAAAUUCAUAAUUAAACUUAUUGAAAUCGUGAAUACGACAUAUAUUACUAUUUGAAUAUUUGUUACUCAUAAUCAUCUUAUUUAUAAUCAAAUAUAUGUACUCGUAGAAUGCUUACCAAUGAAUAUAUAAAUAUGUAUAUACAAUAUGCAUAACAAUUGUAUAUUUAAAUACUCAUCAAAAACUUACAACCGAAUACUUUUAUAUAUCAUUUACAUAUAAGCAAAUGCAUACAUCAUUAUCAAAUACCUAAAACCGAAUGCAUAUACACUUUAUAUGUGUGUAGCCGAACGCAUAUUUAUGUACUUAACAAAUUAUAUAACCGAAUAUAUAUAUACAUACACAUCAAACGAAUAUAACCAAAUACAUUUAUACUUACCAAAAUGCAUGUAUAGAUUUCUCACAUACAUCUAUCUGAAUGCGAAUAUACCUAACAAUUUCAUAAAAUUUAAUAUAUAUAUAUAAAUCCAUACUCAUCAAAUACAUAUAAACUAAUGUUUAUAUGCUCAUCAAACACAAUGACCAAAUGUAUAUACAUAUUCUAUAAAUCCAUAUGACUAAAUCAUACACAUAUUCGAUACAUGUAAACACAUGAUAUGAAUAGAUUCACCGGCACAAAACAGGCCUGAUUCAAUACACUGGCACUUAGCCUGCUAGAAAUAAAGUCUGAAAUGUUUCACCGGCGUCAAGCCUGCUAGACUUAAAGUCUGAAAUGUUUCACCGGCAUCAAGCCUGCUAGACUUAAAGUCUGAAACAUAUCACUAGCAUCAAGCCUGCUAGGCACCGAGCCUGAACACUCAAUUUAUAUAAAUACAAAUCACUUUAAAAAUGUAUAUGUAUAUAAGAUUCCAUGUAUAAAAAUUUAGCUCAAUAUAUAUAAAUUAUACCUUUAAACCAUAUAGGUAUAUAAAGUUCAGAUAUUGAAUCCAGCUCAAUAACUUAAUUAUACAUAUGAUCAUAUACAGAUAUAUAACUUAAUACAUUAAGGCCUACUAUUAAUAUCAUACAUUCGAACAUCUUAUAGUAAUCCAAGCUAACAAUUUUGUACCUUCAACUCCAUUCAAAAGCUUCACAUGAAUAUAAUUACAUAAUUGAAUCUCACAUAAACUUAUAUAAUUAUCAUACCUAAAUUCAAUACAUAAACAUGUACAUAUAUAAGUUGGUAUAUAUUCGAGUCUCAUACAUACUUUAUAUAAUAGUCAUACCUAAAUUUAACACAAAAACAUAUUCAAUUAUAUUGUAUUUCCGAACUUCAUAUAAACUUAUAUAAAAAUUAUACCCAAACUCAAUACAAAAACAUAUACAUGUAAAUAUAUAUUUAUGUGCUCAUUCAAUUCUAUCAUAUACAUAUAAAUGUCAACUCACAUGUACAUACCAUUUCAAAAUUACUUACGCAAAUAUAACAUAUAUAUUUUUAAUCAAUCCAAUAGUUUGUACAUAUAUGUACUUACAUAUAUAUAUACAUUCGAACCUUAUAUAUAUAUACUAUACAUACCUUUAGAUUAAUAACCAAGAAUAUAUACAUAAGCCAUAUUCAUUCUUCAACUAAAUUCAAGAGCUUACAUAUAUGUGUAUACAUAUAUGUAUAUUCGAACAUUAAUCAUAUAUUUAUAUAUAUACAUAUCAUUUUUACUUUGAUUAAAUUCAAGCUAUAUACUUUCAAUUUGAGCUCAUCCAAAUACAAUAGAUAUAUAUAUGUAUAUAUAUAUAUUAAUUAAUAACAUUAAAUUGCUAGUUGACUUACCUCGGACGGUGAAAAAUCGAAACCGGACGAUUAUUCGACGAUUUUAGCUUUCCCCCGAUCUAACUCCGAUUUCUUUGGUUCUUGAUCUAAAUAUAUCCAGAAUGAGCUAAUUUAAAUAUUAAAACAUUCAAUUUAAUCCAAAAACACAUAAAUAGGAAAAUUACCAUUUUGCCCCUAAUAUUUUACACUUUUUACAAUUUAAUCCCAAUUGCAUAAAACACAAUUUACACAAAAUCUCACAACAACAUAGCUAGGCCAAAUCUUCCUUGUAUUCAUACAAGUCCAUGCAUUUCAUUUAUUUUUCAUUUUAGUCCCUCAAAAAUUUAUUUUUUUUAAUUUAGCCCUAAUUACUCAAAUUUACCAAAAAUUCAAAGACAAAACAUGUUAAUCUAACACAUAUAUUUCAUAAUCCAUCAUCAAACAUCAUAGAACACAAUUAUUCGUUAAUGGCAUAACUCAAAAUAUUCAUCAAAAACAAAAAUUCUAACAUGGGUCGGAUAGUAUUCGAAACAACGAUCUCAAAAAUAUAAAAAUUAUCAAAAACCGAGCUAGAACUCACCUUGAAUCAAGCUCAACAAUGGCCGAAUACCCUAGCUUUGUUUCUUUGUUUUCUUUUGUUUUGUUUCGUGAAGAAGAUGAAGG